GGAAACUGCGGAAGAUCAUUUACCACACCGAUCCAAGAUCAGUCUUCAUUGUGAAUCUGAUUUCAGAGGCAGCCUCGUGCUGUUCUCUGUCGUCAACUUUAACCCUGGUGCCACCGAGUCCGUGCAAUACUUUGCUUGGGUUUCGUUGGUGUCCAAUUUACCCCCCAUAUUCUAUAUGGAAACUGGAAAGAACCAAAUGACCUAAAGCUAAAGUGCAGUUGGUCUGGUGUUGCGCCUUGUGCCAACGCCGCCCUGUACACAAACCUAAUGACUUACAACUUUCAGCGGUGGAUGUCUAGGUUCCCACAACGAUGAAGAACGCAGCGAAAUGCGAUACGUAAUGCGAAUUGCAAGACCUCGUGAAUCAUUAAGAUUUUGAACGCACAUUGCGCUUUCGGGAUUUUCCCGGUAGCAUGCUUGUCUGAGUGUCUGUGGAUCCCCCUCAGCACUGGUCUAUUCUGUAGGCCAGUAGCUGGUUGCUUUGGCCUUGACUGCCUCUGGCUGUCUCUGCUUAAAUUCUACAACACGUACGUGCAUAGAUCUAGAAACGUCCCAGCCCGUUCUGACGACGGCGUUGACAUUCUCAUCUAUCUCUGGUAGCUUUUGUCUCUGGAGUUCAAUUGAGUUUGUUAUCAGCUGUUGGAAGGACUACUGAGUCGACCUCUAAGUCUAGCUUGCAGUUUACUGCUCGCUAUCUAAUUCCGGAUCUCAGAUCAAGCAAGAUGACCCGCUGAACUUAAGCAUCUGUC
RNAcentral lists this unclassified non-coding RNA (749 nucleotides) under Pseudo-nitzschia delicatissima. RNAcentral describes it as "sequence contains ITS1, 5.8S rRNA gene, ITS2". The stretch from base 277 to 431 matches the Rfam family "5.8S ribosomal RNA". The record is from RNAcentral. Lineage: Eukaryota; Bacillariophyta; Bacillariophyceae; Bacillariales; Bacillariaceae.